Delphinapterus leucas (beluga whale) is the source of this 1647-nucleotide non-coding RNA. NCBI's taxonomy places the organism in Eukaryota, Metazoa, Chordata, Mammalia, Artiodactyla, Monodontidae. The record is from RefSeq and is a predicted model, not a curated record.
CGCGUCCAGAGCCUGUGCUCCGCAACGGGAGAGGCCACAACGAAAAAAAAGAAAAAGAAAAUACCAGCGUUUGCCAGGUGCCAGCUCCUGGCGACACAGCGGUGUAAAGACAAUUGUAUUUGUUCUCCUCACAGGGCUUCCACCCUCUUUGCCCCUCUGGGCAAGGCCCUCAGAGGUUGAAGAGGCGAGAGUUAAAUGCCGGUGGGUGAGUUGCCACCAGGAUCGCUGCCCUCUGAGAAAGGAGCGUCACUCUGAAGGGAAGCUGGAAUUCCUGGGGAAUUUGGGGCCACGCCUGGGAUGGCAGUGCAAGCAGAAGGCACCUGCCAUGCACAAAGUACCCACAGUUGAAGAGAAGAUUCGUGGAGAUGUGAGAGUAAACCUCGAGGAAUGAGUCUCACCAGUAGCUCAGAUGGCGGAAGGAUUCAGGUUUCCAGAGGAGGCAGCAUCUGGCCUGGUUUGGGCGUGUGGGUAGCAUCUCAGACACAGGGAGCCAAGGACGACCUCAGCAUGGGGCACAGAGCACCCGAGUUCUCCGCUUCGGGCCUGGGAAUUUAUCUACAACUUGCUCGUUUGUUUAUUCAUUGACUGGUUACUGAAUGCUCCUGUGUGCUGGGCACCGGGGCUGUGGCCCUGAGAACAACAGACACUGCCUUCAGACGAUGCGUUUUAGGGGAGAAGACACAUGAAGCACAAGUAGGUGGUGGUAACUGCAGAGCCAAGGGUGUCGGCUGUGCCGGGGUGCACAGGGUGGGAGGGUGUAGCUGCUUUAUCUGGGGUGGUCAGAGAAGGAAUUGAGGGAGCAGGCCCUUGGGGAGCUGGGUGAAGAACAUCCCUGACAGAGGGGCUGCAGGACCAGGGAAGAGUGCCACGGUGGAGAGAACAGGAUCUAGGAGUGGAGUAUCAGAGCUUCGUUGGUUCUGCUACUGAUUUGCGCUGGUUCUUGGACCCAGUGACAAAGCAACGUGAUUGUGAGGAUGGGCUAGGAGCUGGACCACGUGGAUGUGAAUCCCAGCUCUGCCACUUAUGACUAGAUGAGCCGGCAAGCUACUUAACCUUCCCAAGCUUCCAUUUCGCCAUCUGAAAAUAUGGGGGAAACCCCCGUGCUCCAGGCCCUCUUUGGGAGGAUUAGAUGAGUUAAUUCACAUAGAGCACCGAAACCAGGGCCGGACCUGCUGUGAGCCCAAGCUGACAGCAGCUAUUUCUAUGAGAGCAAGUUGUUUGCCCUCUAUGGGGUGCAGUACUGUCAUCCCAGAUUGUGAGCUUCAGAGAGGUGGUCUCUUUAAGUGCUCAACCCAAAGAUUCUUGGAAAUCUGAUGUUAAUUUACAUGUUAUUUUAUGGACCAUUUCAUGUCAUUUGUUAACUGCUUUUUUUUUUUUUACGGUCUGCCCCCAUCACUGUCCUCUUGCAGGGUUUAGCUUCUUUCCAGUGAUGUUGAGUAUGGGGUCCUUCACUUGUCUUUGCUAGAAUUCCACUUCUCUCUGCCUCACUGGUGGGCUUUAUUCCUUCUGGGAUCUUUACACAGCACUCAGUGCACUUAGUUGAUAAAAAACAUUCUCUCUAUUAAUUUCAAUACACUGGCAAGGGAUCUCUGUAGCAGAAACUUUAAAAAAUGAAAUUUCAUUAGGUCCCAAAUUGAGCUACUUGUA